Molecule: transfer RNA, 67 nt
Filed under: Marmota monax (woodchuck)
Lineage: Eukaryota; Metazoa; Chordata; Mammalia; Rodentia; Sciuridae
Description: tRNA.Ala
Rfam family: tRNA (bases 5-64)
About the family: Transfer RNA (tRNA) molecules are approximately 80 nucleotides in length.
Source: RNAcentral
GGAUUGUGGCUCAGUGGUAGAGCACUUGCCUAGCAUGUGUGAGGCCCUGGGUUCAACCCCAGCACCA